This 833-nucleotide ribosomal RNA is filed under the name Thelohanellus sp. AG. Its description in RNAcentral is "bacterial SSU rRNA". It matches the Rfam family "Eukaryotic small subunit ribosomal RNA", at positions 167 to 860 of the family's 1831-position model. The record is from RNAcentral. Lineage: Eukaryota; Metazoa; Cnidaria; Myxozoa; Bivalvulida; Myxobolidae.
AUCCUCCGCAUUGUAGGCUCUCGAGCUUUUCAUUGGCCUGGCUUUCGGGGUUGCGUCCCAGCAUUUAUUACACUAAACCAUCCACUAUGCUCGCCUAGAAAGGGGAAUCUGGAUAACUUUGCUGAUCGUAUGGCCCAGCGCCUGCGACGUUUCAAUUGAGUUUCUGCCCUAUCAACUUGUUGGUAAGGUAUUGGCUUACCAAGGUUGCCACGGGUAACGGGUAAUCCGGGUUCGAUUCCGGAGAGGGAGCCUGAGAAACGGCUACCACAUCCAAGGAAGGCAACAGGCGCGCAAAUUACCCAAUCUAGACAGUAGGAGGUGGUGAAGAGAAUAACUAAGUGGUGGUCCAAUGGAUCACUUGUUUGGAAUGAACGUAACUUAAGAAAUUCGAUGAGAAACAACUGGAGGGCAAGUCCUGGUGCCAGCAGCCGCGGUAAUUCCAGCUCCAGUAGUUUGCUUUAAAGUUGUUGCGUUUAAAACGCUCGUAGUUGGAUCACGCAGCAUUGCCCGGUAAUCUAUUGUGGGAGAUUGGAGGGUGGGCUCGUCUCGUACGGCCUCCCACCGAGUCCGGCAUUAGAUGUUGACGCCGAGCUUUUUCUAGUUGCACGUGAGAUAGAUGGUUGGGCCUUGAAUGCGCUGAUAUUUCUCGUCUUGCGGAGUGUGCCUUGAAUAAAACAGAGUGCUUAAAAGCAGGUCGUUGCCUGAAUGUUAUAGCAUGGAACGAACAACGUGAAUAUGUGUGCGUCUCGGGAUGGUGAUGAAUCUUUGGGUUAUUGUUGUCGGAGAUGCGCACGGGCACCCACCAAAUUUUGGUUGUUGGGUUCCAUAUACGG